AUAUCACCGGUUACCGUAUGAUCACCGAAGUUAAGCAACGUCGAGCCUGGUCAGUAGCUAGAUGAGUGACCGCUUGGGAAUACCAGUUGCUGUAAG
Molecule: non-coding RNA, 96 nt
Organism: Acanthosepion pharaonis
Lineage: Eukaryota; Metazoa; Mollusca; Cephalopoda; Sepiida; Sepiidae
Source: the annotation of a GenBank genome assembly